GAUGAACGCUGGCGGCGUGCCUAAUACAUGCAAGUCGAGCGAACAGACGAGGAGCUUGCUCCUCUGACGUUAGCGGCGGACGGGUGAGUAACACGUGGAUAACCUACCUAUAAGACUGGGAUAACUUCGGGAAACCUGAGCUAAUACCGGAUAAUAUAUUGAACCGCAUGGUUCAAUAGUGAAAGACGGUUUUGCUGUCACUUAUAGAUGGAUCCGCGCCGCAUUAGCUAGUUGGUAAGGUAACGGCUUACCAAGGCGACGAUGCGUAGCCGACCUGAGAGGGUGAUCGGCCACACUGGAACUGAGACACGGUCCAGACUCCUACGGGAGGCAGCAGUAGGGAAUCUUCCGCAAUGGGCGAAAGCCUGACGGAGCAACGCCGCGUGAGUGAUGAAGGUCUUCGGAUCGUAAAACUCUGUUAUUAGGGAAGAACAAAUGUGUAAGUAACUAUGCACGUCUUGACGGUACCUACUCAGAAAGCCACGGCUAACUACGUG
RNAcentral lists this ribosomal RNA (497 nucleotides) under uncultured bacterium. Its description in RNAcentral is "partial 16S ribosomal RNA". It matches the Rfam family "Bacterial small subunit ribosomal RNA", at positions 28 to 507 of the family's 1533-position model. The record is from RNAcentral.